Lepus europaeus (European hare) is the source of this 494-nucleotide long non-coding RNA. RefSeq lists it as uncharacterized. NCBI's taxonomy places the organism in Eukaryota, Metazoa, Chordata, Mammalia, Lagomorpha, Leporidae. The record is from RefSeq and is a predicted model, not a curated record. The transcript has 4 exons.
GUGGUCAUCAGGCUCACGCAAGGACAGCGGCUCCACGGGCUCGAGCUCGAAACAACAAGAAGGGAAUCGUCCUGUUCAUAACACUUUGCUGCUUCCUGGCUGCCUUCUGUUCACAGCAUGGAUGGACCAAGAUCCAUUCAACUUUCCGCCCACUGCUGUGGUUUGUCUGGAAAGGGUCACUGGCCUCAAGCUUGCUCUCCAGUGUGGCAGUGUUGAGGUGGAGGAACUUUUAAAGGCAAGAUCUACUGGAAGUUUUCUCUAACCUCUGCGUGUGACUUCUGAACUGAUAUUCUUCUGGUGACAAGGGAAUAAAGCAAUGACACGCCUGAAUCAUCUUCAUGUGCUCAGGAGGAGAAAUCGCUGGCGUGGCUUCGCUCAGAGAAAGGGAAAAGGCUUAUUGUCCUUACUGUCAGCUGGGGGAAACCCAAUAGGCUGCCUCACUGUGCAAGAGAGAACAGCAGCCUGUCCUGGGAAAACAGGUCUUACACAGCUUC